AAUUCUGUCAAAACAUGCACUUGAGUGUGUUUUGGAUUAUGGGAGUGUCUGCUGGCUUUAUAUGAGCCAGCUCUCCUGAAAGACAUUAGCUUUGGGGGGAAGGUGCCAAGUCACUUCUGCCUUUCCAUUGGUGUGAUAGAUUGGAUUAUCUACACCAGGAAAGCAGGUGAAGCACUGUAAUCUCUCUGCUCUCUAAUUGACAUUUGUCUGACA
This 213-nucleotide unclassified non-coding RNA is filed under the name uncultured Amanita. Its description in RNAcentral is "sequence contains ITS2". Lineage: Eukaryota; Fungi; Basidiomycota; Agaricomycetes; Agaricales; Amanitaceae. The record is from RNAcentral.